AGAAAUAAUCAUGUUAAAAACAUAUUAAAACAUGGAUUUGGCACCCAAGUAAAAGGAUAAAAACGAGCUGGGUAAAGUGCAUCCCAGUCAGUUGUUCAGAUGUCAAGAGUCAGAUGCCAGUUAACAAACAAAACAGAGUUUAUUCCAAAGAUAAGCCAAAAAAUAACAUAAACACAGAAAGUAUCCUUGAAACACUUCACUUAUCAGUGUUUCAAGAGUAGUUUGGACAAAAAUAACUCAAAAACAAGCCACGCUAUUUUCCCAUGCUGGCAUUCAAUAAAAACUAAAAGACGCUUCAAUUCAGCUUUGGAGAACAAAUAAAGUUGACUGCAAGAAAAUAUGCAAAAUAAACAAAGGCUUGAAACCUUCCAGAAGCUGCAGAGUAUAACUGAAAGUGCAAAAGCCUCUUUUGGCUUCAAACCGUUUCUGAAAACACACAGCCUGCGGAUUUAAAGGGACAGUUCCCAAAAGAAAAACAGCAAACUGGCUUGAAAACAAACAAACUAGAAGAGCAGUAAACUGCUUCCACGGUGCAGAUAAAGCCGAAAGCUUCAAAGGGAUGAUGAAUAGCUGUCGUCAGGAGAAUCCAAGGUCAGGUCAGGAGGCAGCAGCAAAUUCCGAAAGGCAAACCAGUAGUCAGAAGCCAGGAGUAGUUGUCAGUCAGAGGGCGUAGACAGAAGCCAGGUCAAAUUCAAUCCAAAGUCCGAAGAGGGUGCAGUCAUCCAAACCAGGUCCACGAUAAGACACAGCAAGAGCCAAGCCAGAUGGUAUCAGCAGCUAGAAAUAGUAAUCAGAAUGCAGUCCAGGGAAACCCACACAGUUCCAUCCCUCUGCUGCAGAGCAGUCCCAGAUAACUUACAUCCGAAUCACAGUCCAAGUCCAGUCUUCACGGAAACACAGAGAUCCCAAUGGCACCUCAGCAACACCUUGCCACACGCAAAGUGUUGCUGAGGCGCCAUUGGGAUCUCUGUGUUUCCAUGAAGACUGGACUUGGACUAUGAUUUGAAUCUGCUGUUAUCACCUAGCUUGGCUCUCGCUGUGUCUUAUCGUGGACCUGUUUUGGAUGACUGCACCCUCUUCAGACCUUGGAUCGGAAUUUGACCUUGCUACUGCCUUCGCCCUGUGAUUGAUGACUACUAUCGGCUUUUGACUCCCGGCUUGCUCUUUGGACACCGCUGUUAUCUCCUGACCUGACCUUGGAAUCCCGGACGACGUCUUUUCACCAUCCUUUUGGAGCCUUCGGCUUUAUCCACAUUGUGGAAGCAGUCUACUGCAUUCUUAGUUUGUUUGUUUGUUUCCUGACCAAUUUGGUGUUUUCUUUUGGGAACUGUUCCUUUGAAAACUACAGAGCCGGCUGGCAGGGCUUGGACUCAGAAAGUGCAGUUUGCACUAAGUUUGUUUAGCUUUGUUUUUACCUGCUUGUGUUGCUGAAUAUUUUUGUUUGAACUGCUCUUGAAGCACUGAUAGUGAAGUGUUUCAAGGUUUUUUCUGUGUUAACAUUACCUUUUGGCUUAUCUGCUGAAUAAACUCUAUUUUUGUUCGCUAA
This is a long non-coding RNA of Anolis carolinensis (green anole), 1546 nucleotides long. RefSeq lists it as uncharacterized. The record is from RefSeq and is a predicted model, not a curated record. The transcript has 2 exons. Lineage: Eukaryota; Metazoa; Chordata; Lepidosauria; Squamata; Anolidae.